AUACGGAGGAUGCGAGCGUUAUCCGGAUUUAUUGGGUUUAAAGGGAGCGUAGGUGGGAUAUUAAGUCAGCUGUGAAAGUUUGGGGCUCAACCUUAAGAUUGCAGUUGAUACUGGUUUCCUUGAGUACGGUACAGGUGGGCGGAAUUCGUGGUGUAGCGGUGAAAUGCUUAGAUAUCACGAAGAACUCCGAUCGCGAAGGCAGCUCACCGGGCCGGAACUGACACUGAUGCUCGAAAGUGCGGGUAUCAAACAGGAUUAGAUACCCUGGUAGUCCGCACAGUAAACGAUGAAUACUCGCUGUUUGCGAUACACUGUAAGCGGCCAAGCGAAAGCGUUAAGUAUUCCACCUGGGGAGUACGCCGGCAACGGUGAAACUCAAAUGAAUUGGCGGGG
RNAcentral lists this ribosomal RNA (393 nucleotides) under uncultured bacterium. Its description in RNAcentral is "partial 16S ribosomal RNA". It matches the Rfam family "Bacterial small subunit ribosomal RNA", at positions 523 to 918 of the family's 1533-position model. The record is from RNAcentral.